RNAcentral lists this transfer-messenger RNA (355 nucleotides) under Coriobacteriales. RNAcentral's name for it is "UMGS124 sp019420325 Standard tmRNA". It matches the Rfam family "transfer-messenger RNA". From Rfam's summary of the family: Bacterial tmRNA, also known as 10Sa RNA or SsrA, is named for its dual tRNA and mRNA-like properties. RNAcentral also lists the same sequence under 2 other names. The record is from RNAcentral. Lineage: Bacteria; Bacillati; Actinomycetota; Coriobacteriia.
GGGGGCGACUGGUUUCGACAUGGUCAUUCUGAGGGGGGCAGCAAGCCGAGGUCUCCUCACCUCGCAAAACAGGGGUACUUGUCAAAAUAAAUGACAAUCGUUCUAGCUACGCCCUCGCUGCUUAAUUAGUCAGCGACGUCAAUCCGGGGUUUAUCCCCGACUCCGGUGCGACGCCAUUUUAGGGGAUUGCUCGUGGGAUCGUAGUCUGUAUAGCCCACGCUAAGACCGAACGGACUGGACUCAAGGCUGCCUGACGCCGUGCGGCUGCGAGUCGAGACUUAAACGGAAUCUGAGCUUGGAGAUACCGCCCAGGGUUUGGCCAUGGACCGGAGUUCGAUUCUCCGCGCCUCCACCA